RNAcentral lists this ribosomal RNA (695 nucleotides) under Ureibacillus thermosphaericus. RNAcentral describes it as "bacterial SSU rRNA". It matches the Rfam family "Bacterial small subunit ribosomal RNA", at positions 67 to 747 of the family's 1533-position model. Lineage: Bacteria; Bacillati; Bacillota; Bacilli; Caryophanales; Caryophanaceae. The record is from RNAcentral.
CCAAUUGAAAGCCUAGCUUUCAUGAGGUUAGCGGCGGACGGGUGAGUAACACGUGGGUAACCUGCCCUAUAGACUGGGAUAACUCGCGGAAACGCGUGCUAAUACCGGAUAACACAUCAAAGUGCAUGCUUUGAUGUUGAAAGAUGGUUCUGCUAUCACUAUAGGAUGGGCCCGCGGCGCAUUAGCUUGUUGGUGGGGUAACGGCCUACCAAGGCGACGAUGCGUAGCCGACCUGAGAGGGUGAUCGGCCACACUGGGACUGAGACACGGCCCAGACUCCUACGGGAGGCAGCAGUAGGGAAUCUUCCACAAUGGGCGAAAGCCUGAUGGAGCAACGCCGCGUGAGCGAAGAAGGUCUUCGGAUCGUAAAGCUCUGUUGUAAGGGAAGAACAAGUGCAGUAGUAACUGGCUGCACCUUGACGGUACCUUACUAGAAAGCCACGGCUAACUACGUGCCAGCAGCCGCGGUAAUACGUAGGUGGCAAGCGUUGUCCGGAAUUAUUGGGCGUAAAGCGCGCGCAGGCGGUUUCUUAAGUCUGAUGUGAAAGCCCCCGGCUUAACCGGGGAGGGUCAUUGGAAACUGGGAGACUUGAGUGCAGGAGAGGGAAGCGGAAUUCCAUGUGUAGCGGUGAAAUGCGUAGAGAUAUGGAGGAACACCAGUGGCGAAGGCGGCUUCCUGGCCUGUAACUGACGCU